RNAcentral lists this long non-coding RNA (5332 nucleotides) under Gossypium raimondii (Peruvian cotton). Its description in RNAcentral is "long non-coding RNA (GRAI_LNC000862)". Lineage: Eukaryota; Viridiplantae; Streptophyta; Magnoliopsida; Malvales; Malvaceae. The record is from RNAcentral.
UUAUCCAUCUGCGACAUUCUUGUUAUCUCUUCCCAUUUUUCAGCUUCCGGUAGUUCCUUUAACUGAACACCUGAUUUUACCAAAAAUUUCUCCUUCUCAAAUUCACCAACAAUCCACAAAGCCAUGUCGCGAACCAUAUCGUGCAUCCUUACACGAUCACUAAAACGUGCUUUCUCCAAUAAGCAUGCCUCAAUAAGAGAACCUAUAAUGAAACGUCCCUGGUUUCUUGCAGUGCUUAAAUCAGUAUGCUCGUCCAUAAAUCCUUCCCUGAUCCAACAAUGUAUUAGUUCAUCUAUUUGGAUUGGAUGAUCUUCUGGAUAUAAAGAACAACACAAGAAACAAGAUUUGACUCUUUCACUCGUUAAACUGUCAUAACUGAAUUUUAACUUGGGAUACAUCUCUUUCCCUACCCCUGGGAACACAGAAGCAGCUGAUUGCCUUAAAACUUCAAUAGCAUAUUCCCAUCCUGGAGGGGUCUUCUUGGAUGCCAUGGCUCGCCCAAUUGUAAUGAGAGCGAGAGGUAGUCCUGCACACUCUUCAACCACCGCUUUAGCUAACUUGCGAAUAUCUGGAUGCAUUUGAAGGGUUUCUGACCCAAACUUCUCCUCGAACAGCUUCAAAGCUUUUCCUGGUGGUAAACAUUCCACUUUGAUAUUAUUAGCCAUGUUCGGAUGCAUUUGACAGCACACGUCACGACUACGAGUUGUGAAAAUGACUUUAGAGCCAUUUUGUUGUGUUGGAAGAGGUACCCCAGCUCCUGUGAGAUCAAAUCGUUCCCAUAAAUCAUCCAACAACAAUGCUGUUGGAUUUAGUGCAACAAGCAGCAAGGUUCAGCAAUGAAACUUGCUCAGCAAGAAUCAUGACUUGCAGGAGAAACAAAACAGAAAUUUAAAGCAAAGCUAAAAAGAGAGCAUAUGGAUGAAAACUUGGAUUGAAUUCAUUCAAAAAAACUGAAAAUGGCAUGAAGCCAAUACAUAAAACAAGCUUACAACUUGACAAAACAGUAGGUUAACCUAAUCACAACCUACUACCACUAAGUAACAUACCUACUACCACUAAUUAACUUGUACAAAUUAACAAAGCUGAUUUAUCAGCUCAAUCACCAUCAAUUUUACAUCAAACAUAAACCUAACAUAGUUGAAAUACAACUAAGUUACAUUACAUCAACUUAAAAUACAAAAGAAAAACAAAAACAUGCUUGCUAGCUUGAUGAACUAGCAGCUUCUGCAUGUGAUGGCCUCGACUGUUUUGGUUGCUGCAUGUUGACCAUGCUUCAACACUCCUCCUUGGUUAGCAUGUUGCAAACUCUCAUCUUAGCUCUCAAAUGUUGAAACUUUGAAACACUGAGUGCCUUUGUCAAAAUAUCAGUUGUUUGCUCUUCAGAACUGCAAUGAACCAAUUUAAUAACAUGAGCUUGCUCCAUUUCUCGAACAGCAUGGAGCUUAAUAUUGAAAUGCUUGGUCCUCCCAUGAAAAACAGGAUUCUUUGCAAUUGCAACAGCAGAUUGGUUAUCACACAUUAUCUCUGUUGCUUCAUUUUGCUCAUGGUUGAUGUCUGCUAAAAUUUUUCUAAGCCAUAUGGGUUGAUUGACUGCUGCAGCAGCAGCCACAUAUUCUGCCUCUGCAGUCGACUGAGCCACAACUUCUUGCUUCUUUGAGCUCCAGCAGAUCAUAGCAGAGCCUAGGUUGAAUGCAUAACCUGAAGUGCUUUUCAUGUCAUUUAAUGAACCAGCCUAAUCACUGUCACAAUAACCAACCAGCUUCAAAUUCGCUGCCUUGGUGUACAACAUUCCAUAGGACAAGGUUCCUUUGAUGUAUCUUAGGACUCUUUUUGCAGCUCUAAAGUGACUCUCAUUUGAACAAUGCAUGAACCUCGAGAGUAAACUCACAGCAUACAUUAUGUCAGGUCUAGUAGCAGUCAAAUAUAGCAAACAUCCAACUAGACUUCGAUAGGUUGUUUCACAAACCUUUUCAUACUUAUCUUGGCUCGAGAGCUUUUCUCCAACAGCAAGUAGUGUGCUGGUUGCUUUGCAUUUCUCCAUUGAGAAUUUGUUGAGAACCUUCAUAGCAAAUGUCUUUUGACUUAGCCAAAUUCCAGUUUCAGCUUGAGUUACUUCCAAGCCUAAGAAAUAAGACAUCAUUCUCAAGUCAGACAUCUCAAAGUGCUGUUGCAUUUUGGCUUUAAAGCUGAUUAUCAUCUCUCGAUCUCCUCCUGUCACCAAUAAGUCAUCGACAUAUAUUGACACAAUGAGCUGAAUUUCAACACUGGUCGAUUUAACAUAGAGAGUUGGCUCACUGAGACUCCUUUCGAAUCCCAUACUAAUCAAAUAACCAUCUAUUCUGCUAUAUCAGGCCCUUGGUGCCUGUUUCAAGCCAUACAAGGCUUUGUUGAGCUUGUUCACCAUCUCUUCCUUGCCAGACACCUUGAAACCUUGAGGUUGCUCCACAUAAAUUGUGCUGCUAAGGCAACUAGCAGUCUUAUGGUAUCGAGCCUAGCCACAGGUGCAAAAGUCUCCUGGUAAUCUGAUCCAUAUCUUUGACUGAAGCCUUUGACAACCAAUCUAGCCUUUAACUUAUUCAAGCUUCCAUCAGCAUUGUUUUUAACUCGAUAGACCUAUUUGACACCAAUAAUCUUCCUGUUUGCUGGUCUUUCAACUAGACUCCAAGUUUCAUUCUUCUCAAUCAUUCUGAUUUCAUCAGUCAUAGCUUGCUUCCAGCCUCGAUGACCUUCAGCUUCUUCAAAACAACUUGGUUCAGCAAUGGCCACUUGUGUCAUUUCAUAAACAUCAGCCAUUGAUCGAGUCCCUCUGACUGGUUCAUCAUCUACAUCCAUUUCAGAUGUGUUUUGAUCAUUCUCAGCUUGAUCCAAUGCAAGAUCUUCAGUUGCUGCCUCUGGUUCAUCUUUCUCCCAGUUCCAGCAUCCUUUUUCAUUGAACAUGACAUCUCUGCUUACAAGUAUCUCUUUUGUGGAUGGAUCAAGGAUUCUAUAGCCCUUUUUAACUGUGCUAUAGCCAAUUACAAUUCCUGCUUGAGCCCUUUUAUCCAGCUUGCUCCUCUUUACAACUGGAACUUGUGCAUUGAUGUAACUCGUCCAAGUUUAGCUUAAACAUCCAGGCUGAGAUUGAGAUGUUACACAUCACUUGACAAAAGAACAUGAAAUCGAGAUAUUUAUUGGACAAUUGUCGAGGACUUUCGACAACUUGGAUCAAGGAAUGCUCUAUUGGUCAACUGUACCGUUACCCAUCCAUAACUCCCUCGAGGAGACUUACACCCAAUAGUUCAUAAUACAGUUGAAUGUAAAUGAAAAGGUAAUUGAGUAAAACAAAGAACCAAGCUGCACGUAAUUUAGGGACAGGAAAAAUAAAACUUACAAUGAGGUAUGUUAUAAUACAAUCAGGGCUUUCAACCUUAAUUAAUAUCCAGCAUUUCGUAGAUUACCGAGGUUUAAAAGAGGGUAGAAAAGUAAUUCGAGUGGAUUCAUCCUCCCAUUCUACAUCUUUCCACCAUCCCUCCUUUCCUUCAAUGACGAGCCUUUGUCCUUUUGCACUAUUGAAGUUCAAAGGGAGCUUCUUCAAUAUUUGGCAUUCUCGAAUUCUGAUUUCCUCCAGUUGCGGGAAAGGCAGAGCAUGGCGGUAUAUUGUCUUCAUUUUUGGCAAAUAAUAUAGAUAAAAAGCCUCAAGCUUAGAAAAUAAGUUUGUAUUUGCCUUGGACUUAGUGACUUCACCAAGUUUUUCUUCACUAAUAAUUUCUUCUAAACUUUUGCAAUUAAUUAUCAUUAAUACUUCCAAUUGUGGAGCAAAAACUAGCCAACUUGCAUCCCUCAAUUGAUUGCAGUCGAACAGAAAUACAAACCCAAGGCUCUGGAAGCAUCCUGCACCUUCAAUUAUGUUACAUUCGAUCUUCACUUCUUGUAGAUCCUCAAGUGAUAAACUCUGCAGAUGCUGCACAUUUGUUAAAUCCAAAAUAUUCAAUGAUCUUGAAUCUCUGAAAUGUUUAAGGGUUGCACGUUCAAUGGCACGGCUAAAGAACUUGUUGAACCCCAAAGUUUUUUCCAACUCUGAAGCGCUUCUAAAAGUAAGAGUCAACACAUUCAAAUAUUUUAAAUGCUCCAUUUCCUCCAAAACCAAUGAACAUCCAUAGCCACAUCCCUCCAUUUUCAGUACUUGCAGCUUAGAGAAACUAGAUAUAAGUUGUUGUGGGAUCAUUUCUAGAUGGACUGUCACCUCCAGAUUCAAAUAUUUCAGCUUUUUUAGGGCCUUCAAUUCGGCUGGCAGCUUUCUUAUUCCUGAAAAUGACAGAUUGAGAUGUUCUAGUGAAACCAACUUUGCAACUCCAACUGACAAUUCUUCCAAAUGCUAUUGUAGGACAGGUCUAGAACCCUUAGCAUCGGCAUGAAAUUAAAGAAAUCAUUGAUGAUCACCCUCAAACGAUUCCUCCCAAGAAAUAAAGUUUGGAGAUUGGGGCAUCCUAAUAUCUCAGUCAGAUUUUCAAUUUGAUUAUCCAUCAACGACAUUCUUAUAACCUCUUCCCACUUAUCAGCUUCCGGUAGUUCCUUUAACUGAACACCUGAUUUUACAAAAAAUUUCUUAGAUUCACCACCAAUCCACAAAGCCAUGUCACGAAUCACAUCGUGCAUCUUUACACCAUUAUUAUUAGGCCCUUUCUCCAAUAAGCAUGCCUCAAGAAGCGAACCUACAAUGAAAUGUCCCUGGUUUCUGGCAUUGCUCAAAUUGGUAUGUUUGUCCAAAAUUCCAUCCCCGAUCCAACAAUGUAUUAGUUCAUCUUUUUGGAUGAGUUCAUCUUCUGGAUAUAAAGAACAAUACAAGAAACAAGAUUUCACUUUUUCAUCAGCUAAACAGUCAUAACUGAAUUUUAACUUGGGAUACAUCUCUUUCCCUACCCUUGGGAAAGCAGAAGCUGCUGAUUGCCUUAAAGCUUCAAUAGCAUAUUCCCAUUCUCGAGGGGUCUUCUUGGAUGCCAUCGCUCGCCCAAUUGUAAUGAGAGCGAGAGGUAGUCUUGCACACUCUUCAACCACCGCUUCAGCUAACUUGCAAAUAUCUGGAUGCAUUUGAAGGGUUUCUGAUCCAACCUUCUCCUUGAACAGUUUGAAAGCUUCUCCUGGUGGUAAACAUUCCACUCUGAUAUUAUUAUCCAUGUUCGGUUGCAUUUGACAGCACACGUCAAGACGACGAGUUGUGAAAAUGACUUUAGAGCCAUUUUCUUGUGUUGGAAGAGGUACCCCAGCUCUUGUGAGAUCAAACCAUUCCCAUAUAUCAUCCAACAACAAUGCAAACUUCUUUUUAUAUAAUACCUUGAAGAUGUCUUCAGCUUUC